CAGCGACAAGGGGGAUGCAGCCAGAUGGGGGUGAGGGGCGACCUGGCCUAGGCCCUGCAUGGAUGGGGAAGGUUGCACCAGAAUCCUUGGGCUCCCCCAGGAGGCCAGUCCUGUGCCUCCUUCAAGCUUGGGGGGGUCAGUGUAGGAAGGACAUUGGCCAGCUGGAGAAGGGUCAGAGAAGGGUCCAGGGGCCACGUUGUGGCAGGAUCCAGUGAAGAGAAGAGAAGGCCCUGGAGAUACAAGGUGGCUGGGCUGAAGUAUCCCCUGCGCUUUAUUCUGCUGUUCCCAAAGGCAGAGCCAGGAGCAGCCAGUGAAAGAUCCAGAGGAGACUUCAGAAAACCCUUCUGAGCCAGCAGAGCCGUCCCAGUGUGGAGUGUGCUGCCUCUGGAGGAGGGGGUGCCAAAGACAGGCUAUGAUCGUCUCCUGUCCCAGGUUCAAGUCUCCCAGGCUCCUUCCAAGUGGUCCAGCUGAUGAUGGAGAAGCAGGGUGGACCCAGACUGUUGGGGAUCCAGGAAGGGAGGGGCCCAUCCUCUCCAUCCAUGGGAGCCUGUGUGUCAGUCGCCAGAUCAGCCUGAUGUCAUGUCUCUGCAGCGGUCGCAGACAAACGUCUUCAUUGUCAGUGAGGCAGGGUCCCAGCCGGUGGCAGCCCGGAGAUCUUGGGGGCUGAGAGAGUGGUGAGGAAGGCAGGCUUCCCGCUCGUGUGGAGGGAGGGAUUCAGAAAGCACUGAGGCCCAGAGGGGACAAGGGAACCUGCUUGCCAGGGGCGGGGGAGCCAGGAUUCCAGGCCUCCAAGCUGAGAGCUUCCACUGCAAAUCCCCCCCAAAGGGAAGGGUAAUACGCAGUGUGGACAGAGCUGGGAACCAGCAGCGCCCCUCUCCCAUCACAUUCAUGGCAGAGAGUGGGAAGCAUUGACAGGGCACAGAGAUGUCCUCCGCCCCUGCGCCAGUGCCCCUGCCUACAAACGGUGCCAAGGAUGCCUGGACUCCCUGUCCAUGCCCAUAUACCCUCCUCCAGGCCUCCUCCAGCCUUGGGGGUGUCCCUGAGGGGUCCAGAGCAUCUUCCCCAUGACAUCUCACUGAGAAGCCAUGAACCUCAGCCCAAGUUCACUGCCUGGGUGACCUUGGGCAAGCCCCUUCCCCUCACUGGGCCUCGGUGUCAUCUAUAAAAUGGUAGCCCCAGGUUUCCUCUAAGCUCUGGAUCCUGAUGUGUCAGCCCUGAGUGUUUCUUGUCCUUGGGUGGUUUCCAGGAAAGGAAGACUUGUUUUCUAUGUCUAAGCCAGACAGGAAAAAAACACAGAGGAAAAAACAGCUGGACGCCUCAUGACCUCAGAGAUUCCCCCUCCAGCAGCUGAGGAACUGACCUUUUCUGUGGAGAAAGAAAAGGCUGGGAUACAGCUGAUCUGCCCCCUCACCUCGCCCUGGGGCCA
Molecule: long non-coding RNA, 1426 nt
Organism: Dromiciops gliroides (monito del monte)
Lineage: Eukaryota; Metazoa; Chordata; Mammalia; Microbiotheria; Microbiotheriidae
Exons: 3
Source: RefSeq, a predicted model, not a curated record